UCGGAUUUCCCUUUGUUUGGCUUUGUAGUUCUGUAUGUUCCUUUCUUUAAUAAUGAACUAAUAUCUGUAGCACUAAGCGCUCCACCUGUGUCAUGCUCUUCAGACAUUUUGCCUCCGUGUGGGUCUUUGUUCCUCGUAAGAACCACGUGAGAAUUUACGUUAUUUUGAGUUGUUCGUGUUGCUUUUGUGCAGCAGAUAAAUAAUAUUUUAUUUCUUUUUAACAAUUUAAUUUUAAGAUAUUUCCAUUUUGCGGGAGUCCCGCAAAUAAUUUUAUUCUCCCGCAACCCGCACACACCAGGACCUUACCGCCCGCACCCGCGUUCACAUAUCAAAUUUCGUCCCGCGCCGCACUGGGUUGCGUCGGGUCCCGCGGGUCUCGUACUCCCGCGGGAUUGCAGGUCUCUACUUCCUAGUUCUACUAAGGACUCUAGCUGUUUUGGACCAGCUGAAGUUUAUCAAGAGUGCAGAACAACCACCCAAUAAAGCAUUACAAUAAUCUAACCUAGAGGUAAUAAACAAAUGAAUUAACUUUUCUGCAUUUGAUGUUGAGAGCAUUUGUUUUCCCCCUCCUUUCUUAAUUGUAAAGAAGCAACUUGUGGCGAUACGGAAAAAAAUCUGUACCGGAUCUUUCACCUUGCCCUCAAUUAUGCGGAGGAUAACGUAAGACAAUUAUAUAAAAGGCGAGGAAUAAAGUGAGUGCGUGUGUUAGAAGGAAUUUGGUUCAUUUAAUUUGCUGUUGCAGUUUAUGUACUGGCCUUUUCUUAUGCAUAGACCGGUGCGAUCGCCAAAGAAACCACGACAGAAUUGGUUCCGCAUGAUUUGCCAAUUGCAACAGAAUCCCAGACGAGUUACCUGCAGGUAUUUCUUAUUUUAAAGUUAUUCCAUGUGAACCACGCCAGUCCUUCAGAUUUUCUAACUCUUGCAUGAUUAUUGUCUAUUUUGCAGUUGUUUGGCCAUCCCUCAAGCCGAGUGCUUCACACAGGCAAUACGCACCGAACACACGCAUACAUUGAUGGGGCUCCCGCUUAUCAGUUGAAAGAGUUGCUGGACUAAAGACGAAGAAGCGGUCAGUUCCAAUAUUUGGUGGACUGGGAGGGUUAUGAACCCGAGGAGAGAUCAUGGGUACCCGCACAAGACAUUCUGGAUUCAAGUCUGAUCGAAGAGUUUCAUAGAGCCAGAGCCAGACCCGACCAACCAGCACCACGACCACGAGGACGACCACGUCAAGCUCCAGGAGUCGCUCCUAGAGGGGGUUCUGUAACAACUAGCCAGCAGUGGGAGCCCUCGCCUGAGUACUAGGUGUGCUCACACCCUCUGUUUCUUCUCUGGUUAUAAAGCCCACAAAAAGGAAACAGUCAGAGGCCCUCCAUGUGUUCAGUGCGAAUUAUUGCCAGUUUUUCUGCCUUACUGAGUGUUGUAGUUGGGAUUUUCUGAUUGCCUGUUCUGUGUAUGAGUUUGCCUGUUUCAUGUUUCUUGGACCUGCCCUUUUUUAUUGUUUGCCUGGUGUGGGCAGUUGGGAUGUUCUGGACUCAACCCAUUGCCUGUCUUCUGACUAUUGUUUACUGGAUUACCCCUGUACUUGGUGAAAGAUUGGACUGCCUAUUUAUUACUAACCACCCGCCUGUCUUGACGUUUCUGAUUGCUGCUUGUAAUUUAAAUAAACAGCUCCAUAUAGAUUCAA
Long non-coding RNA from Puntigrus tetrazona (Sumatra barb), 1681 nucleotides. RefSeq lists it as uncharacterized. The record is from RefSeq and is a predicted model, not a curated record. Lineage: Eukaryota; Metazoa; Chordata; Actinopteri; Cypriniformes; Cyprinidae. The transcript has 2 exons.